CCAUACAUAAUUUCAUUUUAUUUUGUCCUUUCCAAUGUACAUGCAAUGAACGUCUUGUUUUCCUCGGGUGAAGCUGUUAACUCAAUUAUGCUAUACGCAUACAUACUUGCAGUACUGCACAGAUAUUCCCUCAUCAUAGUUUAAACUAAGUAUGUCAAUUUUCCAUAACCAUUCGUACGUCCGUGGGUUGAUUUUAGUUAUGUUGCAGCACAAAAUCGCAUGUGUUCUCUGAAUUCGCCGUAAGCGAGAUUAAUGUCGUUCGGAGUUCAUUCGGGUGUAUGUUCACUGUACAC
Paramuricea clavata is the source of this 293-nucleotide non-coding RNA. NCBI's taxonomy places the organism in Eukaryota, Metazoa, Cnidaria, Anthozoa, Malacalcyonacea, Plexauridae. The record is from the annotation of a GenBank genome assembly.